GCGGGCAUGGUGGUGCAUGCCUGUAAUCCUAGUAGCACAGGAGGCUGAGGCAGGAGGAUCGUGAGCAACUCAGUGAGACCCUGUCUGUA
This 89-nucleotide small RNA is filed under the name Marmota monax (woodchuck). The record is from RNAcentral. Lineage: Eukaryota; Metazoa; Chordata; Mammalia; Rodentia; Sciuridae.